GACGAACGCUGGCGGCGUGCUUAACACAUGCAAGUCGAACGGAAAGGCCCUGCUUUUGUGGGGUGCUCGAGUGGCGAACGGGUGAGUGACACGUGAGUAACCUGCCCUUGACUUUGGGAUAACUUCAGGAAACUGGGGCUAAUACCGGAUAGGAGCUCCUGCUGCAUGGUGGGGGUUGGAAAGUUUCGGCGGUUGGGGAUGGACUCGCGGCUUAUCAGCUUGUUGGUGGGGUAGUGGCUUACCAAGGCUUUGACGGGUAGCCGGCCUGAGAGGGUGACCGGCCACAUUGGGACUGAGAUACGGCCCAGACUCCUACGGGAGGCAGCAGGGGGGAAUAUUGCACAAUGGGCGGAAGCCUGAUGCAGCAACGCCGCGUGCGGGAUGACGGCCUUCGGGUUGUAAACCGCUUUCGCCUGUGACGAAGCGUGAGUGACGGUAAUGGGUAAAGAAGCACCGGCUAACUACGUG
This 468-nucleotide ribosomal RNA is filed under the name uncultured bacterium. RNAcentral's name for it is "partial 16S ribosomal RNA". It matches the Rfam family "Bacterial small subunit ribosomal RNA", at positions 28 to 507 of the family's 1533-position model. The record is from RNAcentral.